UGGUGAUCUUGCGGAGGUGGAGUUCAUAGGAAGUUCUACAGUGCUUGUGCCAGAAAAACGUCGGUGCUACGGUACGUGUGAGACGAAGGAGCGUUUGCUGACGACGUCUUGAAAGGCUAUGCGGAUUCUGGAGGCAUCCCUACACCCCGCAGGAACCUUCUCCACUGCUGGAAGCUGGGAAGCACAACGAUAAAGCACCUGAUCUGCAUGCUUUCACAAAGGUGGACCUUGGGGAAGGAAUCCUCCUUGAUGAGGCCACGCUGGCACGACUGCAGCGAGACGCAAAAACUCAGACUCAAGAUGUGCACGGGGCGUCCUGAAGGUUCUUUUCAGCCCAGAAGAGUUAGAGCACAAGUCUCUAUUUGGGCGGCGUUCCAAUGCCCACAAAGAUGUCGCCCAAGAAGUGGCUUCGGACCGAAGGCGUGUGAACGCCAUUCUGAGCUACACAGCAAGGCACUUCGACACUGCGGAGAUCAAAAACAUGUCAUCGAUGCUUGCGCGCAGGCGUUGAAAUGUGCUAAAUAAAUGUUGCUUUUAAAAAAUAU
This 545-nucleotide long non-coding RNA is filed under the name Dermacentor andersoni. RNAcentral describes it as "uncharacterized LOC126516410". The record is from RNAcentral. Lineage: Eukaryota; Metazoa; Arthropoda; Arachnida; Ixodida; Ixodidae.